UGAGAGCGCGUACGGGUGCGGNACACGUGUGCACGCUUUAUCUGGGGNAUAGCUUCGAAGGAGAUUAUACCCCAUAUUAUUGUUGAUUGGCUUCAUCGACAUUGAAAACUCCGGUGGAUAAAGAUGGGCACGCGCAAGAUUAGAUAGUUGGUGAGGUAACGGUCACCAAGUCUACAAUCUUAGGGGCCUGAGAGGGUGAUCCCCCACACUGGUACUGAGACACGGACCAGACUCCUACGGGAGGCAGCAGUGAGGAAUAUUGGACAAUGGGUGAGAGCCUGAUCCAGCCAUCCCGCGUGAAGGACGACUGCCCUAUGGGUUGUAAACUUCUUUUGUAUAGGGAUAAACCUACCCUCGUGAGGGUAGCUGAAGGUACUAUACGAAUAACACCGGCUACUCCGUGCCACAGCCGCGGUAAUACGGAGGUGCAGCGUUCGGAUUAUGGUUAAGGUCGAGGAUCUUGAUCUGGUGAAUCUCCUUUAUGUUAAAUGCUAUCUGGUCUAGUGUGGUUGAAUUAUGGAAUAGUAGUGUAGGGUGAAAUGGCUUAAUUUUCUUUAAACCCCCUUGGGAAGGGGGUCCUGACCAAAUUUGGCGCUAGGC
RNAcentral lists this ribosomal RNA (600 nucleotides) under uncultured bacterium. RNAcentral's name for it is "bacterial SSU rRNA". The stretch from base 1 to 435 matches the Rfam family "Bacterial small subunit ribosomal RNA", at positions 91 to 542 of the family's 1533-position model. The record is from RNAcentral.